GACGAACGCUGGCGGCGUGCUUAACACAUGCAAGUCGAACGCUGAAGCUUGGUGCUUGCACUGGGUGGAUGAGUGGCGAGCGGGUGAGUAAUACGUGAGUAACCUGCCCUUGACUCUGGGAUAAGCCUGGGAAACUGGGUCUAAUACUGGAUAUGACAUGCCACUGCAUGGUGGCGUGUGGAAAGGGUUUUACUGGUUUUGGAUGGGCUCACGGCCUAUCAGCUUGUUGGUGGGGUAAUGGCCUACCAAGGCGACGACGGGUAGCCGGCCUGAGAGGGUGACCGGCCACACUGGGACUGAGACACGGCCCAGACUCCUACGGGAGGCAGCAGUGGGGAAUAUUGCACAAUGGGCGGAAGCCUGAUGCAGCGACGCCGCGUGAGGGAUGACGGCCUUCGGGUUGUAAACCUCUUUCAGCACGGAAGAAGCGAGAGUGACGGUACGUGCAGAAGAAGCGCCGGCUAACUACGUG
RNAcentral lists this ribosomal RNA (472 nucleotides) under uncultured bacterium. RNAcentral describes it as "partial 16S ribosomal RNA". It matches the Rfam family "Bacterial small subunit ribosomal RNA", at positions 28 to 507 of the family's 1533-position model. The record is from RNAcentral.